CAACCAGUUGACCAAUCAACACAGGGCAAGCCCUCCAAGCCUGGAGGCACACCAAUCGUGAGCCUAUGCGUACCCCUAGACACUCCCCUUACGCUGUCCUAUAAGAUCUCUUGGGAGGCCCUAGGAGCCAUCUUUUGCUAGCCAUCUGCCAUGGUGGGUGGGUGAAAGACCCGAGCUAACAUGGGGUUAGCUCGUUAAAUUACAAUAAAGCCUCGUGCAGUUUGCAUCAAGCUCUCGAAUCCGCCUGGUGAUUGGGGUGACCGAAGUCGUGGCCUGAGAUCCCGGAUACUUGAGUUUUCCGGGGGGUCUAACAUUUGGGGGCUUGUCCGGGACUUGCGACCACCCCUCACCUGAGUGGAUUCGAACUUGGAGGUAAGAUGAUUCGAGCUCGCAACUUAUAUGUUCAAUGUUACAUAUUUGCUUGUUUUUGUUGGUUUGGUGCCACUUGAAUUUGCUGUUUUGUUGAUCUUAGCCUGCGCAGGACUCGUGAUUUGUACUCAUAUUUGUAUAAAUCAGACCUCAGGGGGAAAUAGACGUAUUUCGAGACCUUGAAGUCCCGCCCUGGACAAAAGUCCGAGGGUUAUUUGAAUUGAACCAUAGGGUAAGCAGACGUGUGGGCCCAGAAAUAGAUGUAUUUCUGGAACCCUUGGUUCCGCCCUGGACGAAAGUCCAAGGGUUGUUUGUAAUUUUGGUUUGGGGCACCAUUUCUUUGCCGCGGUUUGUCCUGUCUAAUGUCUGUCCACGUUUCAUAUUUGUGUUGUGUGUUUGUUAAGCAUUCUUUCUGUCCCUACUGCCCACACACAUGGCAUGCAUGGGUCAGGGGUCUUUUCUUGAUGCUCUGAGCACGUGGCGCCACCUCAACUGUGAUCGGCAGAUUCGCCCGGAGCACAGAUUGCUGCCCUGAGGACACCCAGGAGACAGACUGCCAGAUCCUGACAGUGACCCAAAGUCUCCAAAGAAGAUUAUGAGGCACCUCAGUUCCUGCACGUGGACCAGUGAGCGAGAUGCUCAGAUGUGAUAACUGCCGCCUGCCAGGACCUAGCCGAGACUGUGGACAAAGCUGCUGGACAUUGGAAAAUUGAUUGUACCCCCUUUGCCUAGACAAAACAAGAUCUCUCCCCAACCCUACACAUUUAAAUUACGUUAUUUCUCAAAAAAGUAAAAAACAGAAAAAAAAAACAAUUUGAAAAGAAAAUCCUGCUAAAAAAAGAAAACAAAACUAGAAGAAACCAUCUGAGCAAGGUUACCCAAUCACAAAAGACAAACAUGGUAUGUACUCACUCAUAUGUGGAUUUUAGACAUAGAGUAAAGGAUUACCAGCCUAAAGUCCACACUACCAGAGAAGCUAGGAAAAAAGGAGGACCCUAAGGGAGACAUACAUGGUCCCCUGGAGAAGAGGAAAGGGACAAGAUCUCCUGAGCAAAUUGGGAGCAUGUGAGGAGGGGGAGAGGGAGCUAGGAGAAUGAGAAAGGGAGAAAAAGAGGGGUGAGGAGGACAUUAGGAAUCAGGAAGGUUGAGUUGGGGGAAGAAUAGAAGAAAACAAGAAUGGAGAUACCAUAAUAGAGGGAGACAUUUUAGUUUUACAGAGAAAUCAGGCACUAGGGAAAUGUCUGGAGAUCUACAAUGAUGACACCAGCUAACAAUCUAAGCAACAGAGGAGAGGCUACCUUAAAUGCCCUCCCCUGAUAAUGAGAUUGAUGACUGACUUAUAUGCCAUCCUAUAGCCUUCAUCCAGCAGCUGGUGGAAGUAGAAGCAGACACCCACAACUAAUCACUGAACUGAACUGGAAUCCAGAUGCAGAGAAGGAUGAGUGAUGGGCAAAGGAGUCCAGACCAGGCUGGUGAAACCCACAGAAACAGCUGACCUGAAAAACGGGAAGCUCUGGGUCCCCAGACUGAUAGCUGGGAUACCAGCAUGGGACUGAUCCAGACCCCAGAAAUUACCACAAGAAGACUCUGUGGUAACUGUCAACGGAGCUGUCGAUGUCCAUGACUUGAUCUGACUCAGCAUCCAGACUUCUGAGGAGUUGAGAGGUCUUGAGCAUGCUGAGUCCCUGACUUGGCCAGGUCCUCAGUAGAGACUCUGGUGCUCACUGAGACCCCUUCUUGACCAGGAUCAUUCUUGCGCGGCUCCACGUUGAGCCGACAGUGGCGCUCAGGAGAGGACAUUGCCCCAUCUCUCGCAAGAGUUCUCAAAGUUCUGUCAGCGAGUCUUUUCCUCAGCCUCCUACGUCGCCGGGAUCUUCUUCGCCUCAUGAAAAUCUUUUGAACCUGUAAGGACAGCACAGUGGUGGGCUGUAAGACCAAAAAGCCACAGGAUAGGGAUCUUGAAGAGUAGAAAUUGAUUUUCUCACAAUUCUGAAGGUGGAAACCCAAGAUCAUGGUUCCAGAGAGAUCAUCUCUUCUGAAGUUUCUGUUUUUCAACAUCUUCAUCCUAUAUCUUGUUGUAUAGUCUUGCCUCUCUGUGUAGCUGUAUUAUCUUCUAUGAUAAGGAUAUCAGUCUACUAGAUAGAAGCAACUAAGACGGUCUUGGUUCAUAUUUUCAGAGAUUUCAGUCCAUCGUGAGGGAGCUAUGGUGGAGUUCAUGUUUGGCCAGAAUGGAUGGCUAUGGCUCCAUAUAUGACACCCAGAAGGAGGCUCUGCUGGAAGAAGUAUUUUGUCACAGCAAUGAGAAAAGCAGCUAAAUCUGGAGAACUUGGUACUGGGAGUCCCUUGCUGUGAUUGAGCCUGAUCACGUGAUGCACGUGUUUUGACACUUGUUGGCAAGAGGAUGUGGAAGAGUUUGGAGCUGUGGGCUAGAGAAGCCCCAGAGAGCAUAAACAGAGAUUAACAGGCCAUCUUGGUUGGGAGGACGAAAGACCAGAAUGCUUAUACAAAUGCUGAUAGCAAACAUUGUGCUAUGAGGAUUCAGAUGGGAAUGAGGAGUUUACCAGGAACUUGAUCGACCUAAGACCAUUUAGGUUACACUCUGGCAAAGAAUUUGGCUGCUUUCUGCCUAUGCUCUUAAAACUGGUGUGAAGUUGAAUUAACUGAAUGCAUAUGCCACACAGCCAUACAUGAGUGGAAACACAUACAUCAAACUAAAAAACAAAUGCAAUAUCAAAAACGAAAUUUUCAAAAAGUAAUGAACUGAUUAAUACAUUUGGUAGAGGGAAUUUUACCACAUCCUACCCUUCAAGUGGAGGCGUCAUUAUUGCUGGACGUACUUAGUCAGCUUUACAGUGAGAAAAGGCAGGGAUUAUUUUGCCUCAUGGUUUCAGAUGUUUCCGUCCAUUUUAGCAAAAAAGGCAUGGGACACAGAAGAAACAGACAGCACAGAUAGAACCAGAGCUGUAUAGAACCUUCAAGGCCUGUUCCUAGUGACCCACUUCUGCCAGGGUGGCCCCAUGUCCCGAAGCUGAGAACCACGUGUUCAAACAUUUGAGUCUGUGGGGCAUUCAAACCAUAACACUCCAUCCUUGUGUGGCUAAGGAGCACUUAAAAUUAGUUCAACUUCUUUAGCCAUCAGAGAAAUGCAGAUUAAAAUUACUUUGAGGUUCCAUUUCACAUAGUCAGAAUGGCCAUCAUCAGAAAUACAAAUGACAGCAAAUGCUGACAGGGGUGUGGGGAAGGGAAAGCCUUGUACAUUGUUUGUGAGAGUCUAAGCAGGUGGAGCCCCUUGGAUUUCCAUAGGACUAGCUAUACCUCUCCUGGUAUAUAGUCAAAGGAUGCUUCAUUCUAGCACAGAGACGCAUCCAUCUUCAUUGCCGCUCUAUUCACAAUUCCUAGGAAAUGAACUUAAUCUUCAUGUAUAAAAUUUGCAAGGAAAUGUAUGAAAUAAAAUGCUAUAUUGAAUGAGGUAACCCAGACUCAUAUAGACAAAUGCCACAUGUUCUCUUAUACAUGUAAAUACUACUUUUGAGUUGUUAGUUGUUUGUAUUUAACUCAAAGUAUGGGUAGAAGCCAAAAAACUAGAAAGGGGCUUUAGGAGGGGUGCACUAAGUGGGAGUGAUACUGGCAACUAGGUAAAAUGAGAUAAGAGAGGGAAAAUACUGGGAAAGAAACGUUUGAAUAGCAAAGGGAUGAAGGGAUGUGGAAGCAGGGAGGGUUAACCAAAACAAACCGUUUAUGAAAAAGCCAUUGGAAACCUACUAUUAUUUAUUUAUUUAUUUAUUUAUUUAUUUAUUUAUUUAAUUAUUGGUUUGUUUUUCGAGACAGGGUUUCUCUGUGUGGCUUUGGAGCCUAUCCUGGAACUUGCUCUGUAGACCAGGCUGGCCUCGAACUCACAGAGAUCUGCCUGCCUCUGCCUCCUGAGUGCUGGGAUGAAAGGCAUGCGCCACCACUCCCUGGCUGAAACCUACUGUUUUACAACUCAAGAUCGUGAAGGGGCAAUCUACAGAGACAGCUGAACCAAACUCGUGGGAACACAUGAACUCUAGCCUUGGAAUCCCCCCGGAACGGAACUAGCCCUCUGCAUGUGAGCUGUGGUAACCUGUACAAGACCUGCCCCAAAUCAGGCAACUCCAGCAGGGUUGAAAUGGGGUCAUGAAGCUGCCGAGCUAUUGGUGGUUGGUGGCUGCUGGAAGAUAUAAAGUCGUUUUUCUUUGGAAACGUGGUUACAGGUCACAUGUACCACGGAGCCCAUUUGGAGGUCAGAGGACAACUUGCGGGUGUUGGUUCUCUCUUUCCACCAUGCAGGUCUUGGAAUGAAAUUCAGAUCUGGUAAGCAGGAGACCCUUCAAGAGUGUUCCUUUGCCAUGCUGUCAUUAGUCUUUGAGUACUUCCUGCAACUCCUGUUUCUUCUAGCAUAAAAUGGUAUUUUGUUGGGAUUGUAGCUGUACACCAUCACAUCUGACACCGCUGUUUGAGAAGCUCACCAGCCUUAUCAUCCUGAAGGGGAAGAACCAUUCAUGUAGAUGAACAUGCAGGAAACUGCCAACACCGUCAUGAGCUAUGGCACAUCGUUGGUGUCAAUGCUGUGCUGCUAGACAACUAUGUCUAGCUCUCCAACUACAAGGUGAUCAAGAACAACAGCUCCCCAAACAAUGUGCAUGCCCAGGUGGCCCUGCAGGUGGUGAACUUGGUACAUUUGGGAAACUUGGCCUUCAUGGCCUCUACUAGGCUAUGGACACCAAGAUGAUGAUGGCUGACCAGAGGCCCAUACUCAGAUUCAUCAUAGAAAAAUCUCUGCCAUCCAGUGACCUUGGAUGCUCUGCACCAGAACUUCUUCAAAUUUGGCACUGUCCUCAAGAUCACCAUCUUCACUAAGAACGACCAGUUCCAGGUGCUGGUGAACUAUUCCCUCCACAUGGGUAUCCAGAAUGAUAAGUAUGGCUACCAGCCCUCUUCAAAGAAGACUCUCUUUACAGCAAAUGUAGACCAUCACAGAAAAGCUGGGAUUAAAGGCAUGCGUCACCAACGCCCGGCGGCAUGCAUGUAUUCUAAGCAUCUAUGUCCCUACGCUCUUCCCCUCCUUCCCGAUGGCCAACUCCCAGGUGGGACUCAAGCUGGAACAGCCUCUAUCUGCUUUGCCUGGAGAAACCGUUUUGAAAUAGGAGGCAGGGCGUUUCUGCCUCCAAAUUUUGCAGCAAAGUUUUGUCUACUCACCUCUGACUCAUGUCCGGAUGCAAAGGUUGAUGUCCAGAUUCAGCUGAUGCUGUCUGAGAGCAAGAUGGAAAAACACUGUGGCUGCAGCCCAAGAGUAUAACUUUUCAAUGAUGAAAAAAGAAGCUGAAAUCAUGGCCCACUUCCUUCCAGGGGUCGUUGCUCUAGAGAUGAUUAUCACAGUCAGAGUCUUCCACUUUGGUGCAAAACUCCAAGAAGGGGAAACUUGUGCAGCCAGAGAUAGAAGAGCAUGAACACUGUCCCCACACCCUUCUUUAG
This 5862-nucleotide long non-coding RNA is filed under the name Cricetulus griseus (Chinese hamster). RNAcentral describes it as "lncRNA (ENSCGRG00015043098.1)". Lineage: Eukaryota; Metazoa; Chordata; Mammalia; Rodentia; Cricetidae. The record is from RNAcentral.